GCUUUCUCCACCCCAUCUACCCUGUGGUGAUGGCCACCCCGGGAGGCAAGGGUCGGUGGGGAAUUGUCCCCUCCCCUGCACUGCUGGUGGUGGGGAAAGGUAGGCCUGACCUGCAGCCAUCCGCCUGUACCUGGACAUUCUCACCUGCCGGCUGGCUCUCUCCUUCUCUAGGACUGUUCUAGAAUCCCUGGAAAAGUCUGGGAAACACGAGCUCCACACAGAUUCAUCCCUGUGAGCUUCGGGAUCCUAAUGUGUCAGAUGCGGCAGCUCACACCUGGCCUCCACUCGCUCCCUCCGGGAGCCCUUGCCUCCUGAGGCCAAGGAGGCCUUCGCCCUUCAGUUCUGUCCGUGUGGAGGAGACCGUGCCUGCCGGGUCGCCGGCGCAUCCCGCAGACUCCCGCGAGUGUGUGUAGGUGUGCGUCUGCGAGGAGGGUCUGCUCCUGAUGAAGCGGUUUCUGUCCUACAACAACCCCGAGGGCACAAACACCUGGAGCAGAGGGAGACCCGGGGACUCCUUGCCCCAUCGUACCUGGGCGCUGCGGGCUGCGUGGUGGUUUGUCUCCCAAAGGUCCCGAAGUCCCGACCAGGUCGGACUGGGUGGGAUCUGUGAUGCUUGGGGGCGGGAUGACGGCUGGAGACCCCUCUCCGCACAGCGGGGCGGGGGGCGGGGUCUGCAGGGCCGCCCCUGCACGUGCGUCCCCACCAAACCCGAGGGCGCCCGGCUCCACGCGCACGGUAGCGCGGAAACGGCGAGAAAUGGGAGGUGCGCAUCUCCCGCGCUGCCGGGUGCCUUCCUGCGACUUCAAGUUUGGGACCCGCGUCCGCGUUUUUGUUUCCGGGAACCUUUAGGCGGGUGCGGGGCGCUUCGCCAGGGCCCUGCCCAGCUCACGGACCCCGCCUGGAGCACCCGGCUCCCCAGCGCCGCGCCUCGGCCGUGCCCCACGCCUGCUCCUGCGCCCCGGGCCGCACGGAACGGUGUCACCCCAGCGGCCCGCAGCGCCGGAACUUGGGGGCGCGGUGAGUGGGGGCGGGGCGCCGGGCCGGCAGGCGGUGGCCGCGUGGGGUGCCCGUUUCUGGCACUAGAAGUCCUUUCUCAUCUCCUUGAAUCUGGGGCUGCGUGGGACCUUUGAGCUCUCCAGGCUGACAAUGUCGUGGAGACGACAGGUCCAGACCCGGGACACGUCCGUCACCCGCGCCCGGGACGCAGGUUUCUUCUUCCCUGUUCCCGGGGAGAGGCCCGGGGGCUGGGCGUCGCGGCGAGCGUCCCCGUGGAUUCCGUUUGUUUUCUUACAGGACCCCCUCGGCCCGCCUGGGCUUCGGUCCCGCCGCGGACAGGCGAGGAGCCUGCGCAAGAGUCGCGAUGGCCGUGGAGCCCCGGACAUCGGCUCUGGGAGGCGCGCCCCGGGACUCGGCGGGGGGCGGAGGCGAGGGGCGCUGCGCAAAGUCGGCGCUCUGGCCAGGGAAGCGCCAGCCCGGGCAGGCGGCGGCGGUGGAGGGGCACGGGGCCCGGACCCUGUGCCCGGGAAACCUGCUCCACGGCCAGGCGCGCGCCAUUGCCCUGCAGCGCGCCCCGACGCGGCGGCCCUGGCCUCCGGCAGUGAGCACACCCCAUCCCCCGACUGACCGCGCAGAUCUGGGGGGAUUUCGAGAUGUUGCGGGAGUCUUGCAGCCAAGCCCCGGGAAGGAGGGGGCUGGAAGCCCGCGCGACCUGCUCGUCCGGUCCUGGGUGAGCGCAGGUAAACGCUUGUGUUCUCUGUGUGAAAGUUCGAAAAGGAGGCGAGAACUAAACCAAAUGUUUUAAUAAUGAUGAUGAUGAUGAUGAUGGAAGCCCUGUUGAAUUGUGUGGCCUCCAAGUCAUAAGGAGAGUAAUUUCC
RNAcentral lists this long non-coding RNA (1874 nucleotides) under Equus asinus (donkey). RNAcentral's name for it is "lncRNA (ENSEASG00005031789.1)". Lineage: Eukaryota; Metazoa; Chordata; Mammalia; Perissodactyla; Equidae. The record is from RNAcentral.